UACGGGGGGGGCAAGCGUUGUUCGGAAUUAUUGGGCGUAAAGAGCUCGUAGGCGGUCUGUCGCGUCUGCUGUGAAAUCUCAGGGCUUAACCCUGAGCUUGCAGUGGGUACGGGCAGACUAGAGUGCGGUAGGGGAGACUGGAAUUCCUGGUGUAGCGGUGAAAUGCGCAGAUAUCAGGAGGAACACCGGUGGCGAAGGCGGGUCUCUGGGCAGUAACUGACGCUGAGGAGCGAAAGCAUGGGGAGCGAACAGG
Molecule: ribosomal RNA, 253 nt
Filed under: uncultured bacterium
Lineage: Bacteria
Description: partial 16S ribosomal RNA
Rfam family: Bacterial small subunit ribosomal RNA
Source: RNAcentral